Molecule: long non-coding RNA, 284 nt
Filed under: Arachis ipaensis
Lineage: Eukaryota; Viridiplantae; Streptophyta; Magnoliopsida; Fabales; Fabaceae
Description: long non-coding RNA (AIPA_LNC000401)
Source: RNAcentral
AUUCAAAUUUGUUUGCUUUUAUAAAAGUGUAGAUGCUCUUAUCCUUGUGCCCUUGAAUUCAUAUAUAAGCUGUACUCAUGUGUUUCUGGGAUCAGUGGCUAUGGUGGGGACAAAAAGAUGUUUCUCUUGGAAGAAUCUUUUAACAGAUUGUCUCUUAAUUUUUCCUUUGAUCAAGGAAGUAGUACUCUUUUUCAGGAUCCAGAGUUAUUCCAGUAUCUUCUCUUUAUUUCUAGUAUUUGGCUUUUACUUUUCUGCAAUUCACUCUUAUCUAGUUUGUUCAUCUG